GGUGAGGUGUCCGAGUGGCUGAAGGAGCACGCCUGGAAAGUGUGGUAUACGGCAACGUAUCGGGGGUUCGAAUCCCCCCCUCACCGCCA
RNAcentral lists this transfer RNA (89 nucleotides) under Salmonella enterica subsp. enterica. Its description in RNAcentral is "tRNA-Ser(gga)". It matches the Rfam family "tRNA". From Rfam's summary of the family: Transfer RNA (tRNA) molecules are approximately 80 nucleotides in length. Their secondary structure includes four short double-helical elements and three loops (D, anti-codon, and T loops). Further hydrogen bonds mediate the characteristic L-shaped molecular structure. tRNAs have two regions of fundamental functional importance: the anti-codon, which is responsible for specific mRNA codon recognition, and the 3' end, to which the tRNAs corresponding amino acid is attached (by aminoacyl-tRNA synthetases). tRNAs cope with the degeneracy of the genetic code in two manners: having more than one tRNA (with a specific anti-codon) for a particular amino acid; and 'wobble' base-pairing, i.e. permitting non-standard base-pairing at the 3rd anti-codon position. Lineage: Bacteria; Pseudomonadati; Pseudomonadota; Gammaproteobacteria; Enterobacterales; Enterobacteriaceae. The record is from RNAcentral.